GACGCAUCGUAUAGACGUAGAGAUUGCGGGCUUCGAUAACAUCCGCGUAGUGCCACAUGAAGGAGCAACAACGGUGAAAUAUGAGAGUAAAGGAGGACCCAUGGCGGCAUCAAGUAACGGCAUAGUAAUCAUGAGAUCAACGUAGCUGAAUAUCCGAGAGAAAAAGGAACUUUGAGAGUGACCCCUCCCACUUCCCACAGGCACUGGCAGAAUAAUCCUGAGCAUCUCGAGGCGUCCGUGCAUUCGGUCUCUGGAGGAUACCACCCUGUCGAUUUGUGGUGACAGCCAGCCCAGGGAGCUCAGUCUGGACGAGGGUUGUUCAUCCCUUCCAGGCACCUCAAGGGACGACAGUAGCGAG
This is a long non-coding RNA of Cataglyphis hispanica, 358 nucleotides long. RefSeq lists it as uncharacterized. The record is from RefSeq and is a predicted model, not a curated record. The transcript has 4 exons. Lineage: Eukaryota; Metazoa; Arthropoda; Insecta; Hymenoptera; Formicidae.